UCCGUGUUCACCACGGCAGUCUCUUUAGAGAGCCCAACUUAAUGCCGGCAACUAAAGACAAGGGUUGCGCUCGUUGCGGGACUUAACCCAACAUGUCACCACACGAGCUGACGACAACCAUGCAGCACCUGUCUUCCGGUCGUAUUGCUACGAAAGCCCUAUCUCUAGGGUUGUCCGGAGAUGUCAAAUCCAGGUAAGGUUCUUCGCGUUGCUUCGAAUUAAACCACAUGAUCCACCGCUUGUGCGGGCCCCCGUCAAUUCCUUUGAGUUUUAGCCUUGCGGCCGUACUCCCCAGGCGGGGCACUUAAUGCGUUAGCGCCGGCACGGGAGGAGUCGACACCUCCCACACCUAGUGCCCAUCGUUUACGGCGUGGACUAC
This 379-nucleotide unclassified non-coding RNA is filed under the name uncultured bacterium. RNAcentral describes it as "contains 16S-23S intergenic spacer region". The record is from RNAcentral.